UACAGAGGGUGCAAGCGUUGUUCGGAAUCAUUGGGCGUAAAGGGCGUGUAGGCGGUUUGUUAAGUCAUGUGUGAAAUCCCUCGGCUCAACCGGGGAACGACGCAUGAAACUGGCAAGCUAGAGUACCAAAGAGGGGGGUGGAAUUCCUGGUGUAGCGGUGAAAUGCGCAGAUAUCAGGAAGAACACCCGUGGCGAAGGCGGUUCUCUGGGACGGUACUGACGCUGAGACGCGAAAGCGUGGGAAGCAAACAGG
This 253-nucleotide ribosomal RNA is filed under the name uncultured bacterium. RNAcentral describes it as "partial 16S ribosomal RNA". It matches the Rfam family "Bacterial small subunit ribosomal RNA", at positions 524 to 776 of the family's 1533-position model. The record is from RNAcentral.